RNAcentral lists this ribosomal RNA (253 nucleotides) under uncultured bacterium. RNAcentral's name for it is "partial 16S ribosomal RNA". It matches the Rfam family "Bacterial small subunit ribosomal RNA", at positions 524 to 776 of the family's 1533-position model. The record is from RNAcentral.
UACGAAGGGGGCUAGCGUUGUUCGGACUUACUGGGCGUAAAGCGCACGUAGGCGGAUUAGUAAGUCAGGGGUGAAAUCCCGGGGCUCAACCUCGGAACUGCCUUUGAUACUGCUGAUCUCGAGUCCGGAAGAGGUGAGUGGAAUUCCUAGUGGAGAGGUGAAAUUCGUAGAUAUUAGGAAGAACACCAGUGGCGAAGGCGGCUCACUGGUCCGGUACUGACGCUGAGGUGCGAAAGCGUUUGGAGCAAACAGG